Molecule: ribosomal RNA, 429 nt
Filed under: bacterium
Lineage: Bacteria
Description: partial 16S ribosomal RNA
Rfam family: Bacterial small subunit ribosomal RNA
Source: RNAcentral
UAGGGAUUCUUCCACAAUGGACGCAAGUCUGAUGGAGCAACGCCGCGUGAGUGAAGAAGGUUUUCGGAUCGUAAAGCUCUGUUGUUGGUGAAGAAGGAUAGAGGCAGUAACUGGUCUUUAUUUGACGUUAAUCAACCAGAAAGUCACGGCUAACUACGUGCCAGCAGCCGCGGUAUUACGUAGGUGGCAAGCGUUGUCCGGAUUUAUUGGGCGUAAAGCGAGCGCAGGCGGAAUGAUAAGUCUGAUGGGAAAGCCCACGGCGGACCCGUGGAACUGCAUCGGAAACUGUCAGUCUUGAGUGCAGAAGAGGAGAGUGGAAGUCCAUGUGUAGCGGUGGAAUGCGUAGAUAUAUGGACGAACACCAGUGGCGAAGGCGGCUCUCUGGUCUGCAACUGACGCUGAGGCUCGAAAGCAUGGGUAGCGAACAGG